GACGAACGCUGGCGGCGCGCUUAACACAUGCAAGUCGAGCGAGAACCAGGACUUCGGUCCUGGGGACAGCGGCGAACGGGUGAGUAACACGUGGAUAACCUGCCCUCGGCACCGGGAUAGCCCGGGGAAACCCGGAUUAAUACCGGAUGGCCCUUCCGGCUCACGAGCCGGUCGGAAAAGGUAGCUUCGGCCUCCGGCCGAGGAUGGGUCCGCGGCGGAUUAGCUUGUUGGUGGGGUAACGGCCUACCAAGGCUCCGAUCCGUAGCUGGUCUGAGAGGACGAUCAGCCACACUGGGACUGAGACACGGCCCAGACUCCUACGGGAGGCAGCAGUGGGGAAUCUUGCGCAAUGGGCGAAAGCCUGACGCAGCGACGCCGCGUGAGGGAGGAAGGCCUUCGGGUUGUAAACCUCUUUCAGGAGGGACGAAGCUACUCGGGUGAAUAGCCCAGAGGGUGACGGUACCUCCAGAAGAAGCCCCGGCUAACUACGUGCCAGCAGCCGCCGUAAAAC
Molecule: ribosomal RNA, 511 nt
Filed under: uncultured bacterium
Lineage: Bacteria
Description: bacterial SSU rRNA
Rfam family: Bacterial small subunit ribosomal RNA
Source: RNAcentral